CUGCGAGGUAGAGGUGAUGGUGGCACCGUUGACUUGGAGACAGACAGACACGGGAGUAGCAACACUUGAGAGAGAAAAGAGUCAUCACCGCCCCCCUCCCUGAAACUAAAUAAUCAAAGAUAUUAACCAUGUACUUACCUUUUUUCCAGUGUCCUGCAUCCUUACAGCUCACCACCCCUCUUCCUUUUCAGUCAGCAAGCACGCUGACGCUUUGCCAACUUAUCGUCCAAUCAGAUGCUUCUCACAGAGAAGCAUUGUGGACAAAAAGUGCAAGUGCGGCAAUUGUCAUCAACCACUAAUCAAAUGCUUCUCAUAGGGAAGCAUUGAAACCAAUACUUCUCUAUGCAAUGCUUGAGGAUGGCGACCAUCAGUACUGAGUCUGACUCCGUUGUGGAAGCUCCCUCUAGUGGCUGUCAGUGUAGCAGCCACUAGAAGUGUGUUUAGCUGUGCAAUGUAAACAUUGCCAUAUUUCCAACACUGCCAUGUUUUACAUUGUAGGAGCAAAACGGCAGGGACACCUCACCCAGACCACUUCAUUGAGAUGAAGUGGUUUGGGUGCUUACUGUGUCCCUUUAAGUCGACGAUUCUUAACCUGUCUUGUUGGGAACAAAAUAAUAUACAAGACUUAGUCUUCAGUUAUAAUAGUAGUUCAUUGACCCAUUCUUCAACUCUAAUAUAAUAUAAUACGUGAUAAAAUUAAUUCCGCAAAAUCCCCUCAUUAGAUUCUGUUCCUCUGAAGAUGCCAAUGCUUUUACAAUACAUUAUCGUGGGCAGUAGACUGAAAGCUGAUCAAAAUUACGUACC
Molecule: non-coding RNA, 804 nt
Organism: Pelobates cultripes (western spadefoot toad)
Lineage: Eukaryota; Metazoa; Chordata; Amphibia; Anura; Pelobatidae
Source: the annotation of a GenBank genome assembly